GUUCUCGCAUCUCAAUUGGUUAGAGUGCUCGCUUAGUAAGCGGUGGUCUUGAGUUUGACUCUCAAUGAGAUCC
This 73-nucleotide transfer RNA is filed under the name Nicotiana sylvestris (wood tobacco). It matches the Rfam family "tRNA". Rfam says of the family: Transfer RNA (tRNA) molecules are approximately 80 nucleotides in length. Their secondary structure includes four short double-helical elements and three loops (D, anti-codon, and T loops). Lineage: Eukaryota; Viridiplantae; Streptophyta; Magnoliopsida; Solanales; Solanaceae. The record is from Rfam by way of RNAcentral. RNAcentral also lists the same sequence under 1 other name.